UACGGGGGGGGCAAGCGUUGUUCGGAAUUACUGGGCGUAAAGGGCUCGUAGGCGGCCAACUAAGUCAGACGUGAAAUCCCCAGGCUUAACCUGGGAACUGCGUCUGAUACUGGAUGGCUUGAAUUCGGGAGAGGGAUGCAGAAUUCCAGGUGUAGCGGUGAAAUGCGCAGAUAUCAGGAAGAACACCAAUGGCGAAAGCAGCUUUCUGGGACGGUACUGACGCUGAGACGCGAAAGCGUGGGGAGCGAACAGG
Molecule: ribosomal RNA, 253 nt
Filed under: uncultured bacterium
Lineage: Bacteria
Description: partial 16S ribosomal RNA
Rfam family: Bacterial small subunit ribosomal RNA
Source: RNAcentral